CAGUUGGAAACAGUUGCUAAGGCUGGAUAGGAAAUAAAAAGGCAUCUUUUUAUUUUUAAAAGACCUUCUUCGGAGGGUAUGCUUAAAGAGGGGCUUGCGUCACAUUAGUUAGUUGGUAGGGUAAUGGCCUACCAAGACGAUGAUGUGUAGCUGGACUGAGAGGUUGAACAGCCACAUUGGGACUGAGACACGGCCCAAACUCCUACGGGAGGCAGCAGUAGGGAAUUUUCGGCAAUGGAGGAAACUCUGACCGAGCAACGCCGCGUGAACGACGAAGUACUUCGGUAUGUAAAGUUCUUUUAUUGAAGAAGAAACAAUAGUGGAAAAACUAUCUUGACGUUAUUCAAUGAAUAAGCCCCGGCUAACUAUGUGCCAGCAGCCGCGGUAAUACAUAGGGGGCGAGCGUUAUCCGGAAUUAUUGGGCGUAAAGGGUGCGUAGGCGGUUUAAUAAGUCUCUAGUUUAAUUUCAACGCUUAACGUUGUCCUGCUAGAGAAACUGUUUGACUAGAGUGAGAUAGAGGUAAGCGGAAUUCCAUGUGUAGCGGUAAAAUGUGUAAAUAUAUGGAGGAACACCAGAGGCGUAGGCGGCUUACUGGGUCUUUACUGACGCUGAUGCACGAAAGCGUGGGGAGCAAACAGGAUUAGAUACCCUGGUAGUCCACGCCGUAAACUAUGAGUACUAAGUGUCGGGGUUAAACUCGGUACUGAAGUUAACACAUUAAGUACUCCGCCUGAGUAGUACGUACGCAAGUAUGAAACUUAAAGGAAUUGACGGGAUCCCGCACAAGCGGUGGAUCAUGUUGUUUAAUUCGAAGAUACACGAAAAACCUUACCAGGUCUUGACAUACUCUGCAAAACUAUAGAAAUAUAGUGGAGGUUAUCAGGGAUACAGGUGGUGCAUGGUUGUCGUCAGCUCGUGUCGUGAGAUGUUAGGUUAAGUUCUAAAACGAGCGCAACCCCUGUCGUUAAUUGCCAGCACGUUAUGGUGGGGACUUUAGCGAGACUGCCAAUGAAAAAUUGGAGGAAGGUGGGGAUUACGUCAAAUCAUCAUGCCCCUUAUGAUCUGGGCUACAAACGUGAUACAAUGGCUAUUACAAAGAGUGGCUUAAACGCGAGUUUUUGGCAAAUCUCAAAAAAAUAGUCUUAGUUCGGAUUGAAGUCUGCAACUCGACUUCAUGAAGUUGGAAUCGCUAGUAAUCGCGAAUCAGCAUGUCGCGGUGAAUACGUUCUCGGGGUUUGUACACACCGCCCGUCAAACCACGAAAGUGGACAAUACUCCCGAAAGCGAUAGCCUAACUGCAAGCAGAGGGAAUCGUCUAAGGUAGGGUCGAUGAUUGGGUUAAGU
This 1345-nucleotide ribosomal RNA is filed under the name Lethal yellowing phytoplasma. RNAcentral describes it as "bacterial SSU rRNA". It matches the Rfam family "Bacterial small subunit ribosomal RNA", at positions 147 to 1486 of the family's 1533-position model. Lineage: Bacteria; Bacillati; Mycoplasmatota; Mollicutes; Acholeplasmatales; Acholeplasmataceae. The record is from RNAcentral.